UGGUGGAGUGAUUUGUCUGGUUAAUUCCGAUAACGAACGAGACCUUAACCUGCUAACUAGUGUGUGGAACUGACGUUUUGACACACUUCUUAGAGGGACUAUCUGUGACUAACAGAUGGAAGUUUGAGGCAAUAACA
This 137-nucleotide ribosomal RNA is filed under the name uncultured eukaryote. RNAcentral describes it as "partial 18S ribosomal RNA". It matches the Rfam family "Eukaryotic small subunit ribosomal RNA", at positions 1299 to 1458 of the family's 1831-position model. The record is from RNAcentral.